GUUGUAUGGUUAAGUGACUAAGCGUACACGGUGGAUGCCUAGGCAGUUGGAGGCGAUGAAGGACGUACUAACUUGCGAUAAGCCAUGAUAAGCCAGUAAGAGGCAUUUGAAUCA
Molecule: ribosomal RNA, 114 nt
Filed under: Aliidiomarina soli
Lineage: Bacteria; Pseudomonadati; Pseudomonadota; Gammaproteobacteria; Alteromonadales; Idiomarinaceae
Also listed under: 1 other name
Description: partial 23S ribosomal RNA
Rfam family: Bacterial large subunit ribosomal RNA
Source: RNAcentral